UCUGGUAAUGAUGGCGAAGAGGUCACACCCGUUCCCAUGCCGAACACGGAAGUUAAGCUCUUCAGCGCCGAUG
This 73-nucleotide ribosomal RNA is filed under the name Anaerobacillus sp. 1_MG-2023. The record is from RNAcentral. Lineage: Bacteria; Bacillati; Bacillota; Bacilli; Caryophanales; Bacillaceae.